AUGAACGCUAGCAGAACGCCUAAUACAUGCAAGUCAAACGGCCAGCAAUGGCAGUGGCAAACGGGCGAGUAACACGUACUUAACCUGCCCAGAAGUUGUGGAUAACCAUAGAGAUAUGGCUAAUCCCCAAUAAUCCCUGAUGAAUGAAAAUAGUCAGGGCAAAGAUUUAUCGCUUUUGGAGGGGGGUGCGACCUAUCAGGUAGUUGGUGAGGUAACGGCUCACCAAGCCUAUGACGGGUAGCCGGUCUGAGAGGAUGUCCGGCCGCAAUGGAACUGAGACACGGUCCAUACUCCUACGGGAGGCAGCAGUAGGGAAUAUUGGACAAUGGGCGAAAGCCUGAUCCAGCGAUUCUGCGUGGAGGAUGAAGCAUUACGGUGUGUAAACUCCUUUUCUGGUGGAAGACGAAUGACGGUACACCAGGAAUAAGCAUCGGCUAACUAUGU
RNAcentral lists this ribosomal RNA (444 nucleotides) under uncultured bacterium. Its description in RNAcentral is "bacterial SSU rRNA". It matches the Rfam family "Bacterial small subunit ribosomal RNA", at positions 29 to 506 of the family's 1533-position model. The record is from RNAcentral.